This 460-nucleotide ribosomal RNA is filed under the name uncultured bacterium. RNAcentral's name for it is "partial 16S ribosomal RNA". It matches the Rfam family "Bacterial small subunit ribosomal RNA", at positions 338 to 795 of the family's 1533-position model. The record is from RNAcentral.
CCUACGGGUGGCAGCAGUGAGGAAUAUUGGUCAAUGGGCGCGAGCCUGAACCAGCCAAGUCGCGUGAAGGAUGACUGCCCUCCGGGUUGUAAACUUCUUUUAUAAAGGAAUAAAGUGAGGCACGUGUGCCUUUUUGUAUGUACUUUAUGAAUAAGGCUCGGCUGACUCCGUGCCAGCAGCCGCGGUAAUACGGAGGAUCCGAGCGUUAUCCGGAUUUAUUGGGUUUAAAGGGAGCGUAGAUGGGUUGUUAAGUCAGUUGUGAAAGUUUGCGGCUCAACCGUAAAAGUGCAAUUGAUACUGGCAGGCUUGAGUACAGGUGAGGUAGGCGGAAUUCGUGGUGUAGCGGUGAAAUGCGUAGAUAUCACGAAGAACUCCGAUUGCGAAGGCAGCUUACUAAACUGCCACUGACAUUGAUGCUCGAAAGUGUGGGUAUCAAACAGGAUUAGAUACCCUUGUAGUC